Phascolarctos cinereus (koala) is the source of this 251-nucleotide non-coding RNA. The record is from RefSeq and is a predicted model, not a curated record. Lineage: Eukaryota; Metazoa; Chordata; Mammalia; Diprotodontia; Phascolarctidae.
GUCACACAGCUAAUGCUGAAAUAAUAAUGGAGUUGAGCUCCCGUGAAGCACCUCUUUAUGCACCAACCAUGCUGAAUUCCAAUUCUUUUUCCAUGACCUCUGGUUUCCCACCUUCCAAGAGAAGAUGUCUAUUCUUCUCAGCAAUACUUCCAGAAUCACAAAAGCUUUGAUCUAAGGAAGGAAGAAAAAAUGAAAACAAGAAGAAAAUAGAAAAAUCAUAAAAAUUCUUAUUGCAGAUACCUGGCAUUCUC